This 468-nucleotide ribosomal RNA is filed under the name uncultured bacterium. RNAcentral's name for it is "partial 16S ribosomal RNA". It matches the Rfam family "Bacterial small subunit ribosomal RNA", at positions 28 to 507 of the family's 1533-position model. The record is from RNAcentral.
GACGAACGCUGGCGGCGUGCUUAACACAUGCAAGUCGAACGGAAAGGCCCUGCUUUUGUGGGGUGCUCGAGUGGCGAACGGGUGAGUAACACGUGAGUAACCUGCCCUUGAUUUUGGGAUAACUUCAGGAAACUGGGGCUAAUACCGGAUAGGAGCUCCUGUUGCAUGGUGGGGGUUGGAAAGUUUCGGCGGUUGGGGAUGGACUCGCGGCUUAUCAGCUUGUUGGUGGGGGAGGGGCUUACCAAGGGAUUGACGGGUAGCCGGCCUGAGAGGGUGACCGGCGUCAUUGGGACUGCGAGACGGCCCAGAGUCCUACGGGGGGCAAUGGUGGGGAAUAUUACACAAUGGGACGGAGCGGGAGGCGGCGACGCCGCGUUCGGGAUGACGGCCUUCUGGUUGAAAACCGCUUUCGCCUGUGACGAAGCGGUAGUGACGGUAAUGAGUAAAGAAGCACCGGCUAACUACGUG